AAAUAAAAAUGAAAAAAGUGUUGACUAUUGGUGGGAUAUUAUAGUAUAUUAAUUAAGUCGCCAUUAAAGAUACAUGAAAUGAAUGGAAUAAUGUCGCGGGGUGGAGCAGCUCGG
This 114-nucleotide non-coding RNA is filed under the name Paenibacillus oryzae. RNAcentral describes it as "Staphylococcus sRNA 774". It matches the Rfam family "Staphylococcus sRNA 774". Rfam says of the family: Northern blot transcript confirmed in exponentially growing and stationary cells in three cultivation media. Trans-encoded. The record is from Rfam by way of RNAcentral. Lineage: Bacteria; Bacillati; Bacillota; Bacilli; Caryophanales; Paenibacillaceae.